GAGUAUUUUUGAGAAUUAUUACUAAUAUUUACGUUAUUAGUAAAAUAAUGUUCACUCAUUUCCUCUAUUAGUACUCCUACUCCUAUUUUGGAUGCCAAAAUUUUCCUCUAGCACAAUCUUUUGUUUCUUCCAAAUUCCAGUUAUUCUCAAAGAUCCGUUGGCACGAGACUCAGCACUGUUAUGACUCUUGUACAUUAUAUUAUUUUCAUCAAACUUAAGAGACAUUUGUCUGGACUUGUAGUAUCUAG
RNAcentral lists this long non-coding RNA (248 nucleotides) under Capsicum annuum. RNAcentral's name for it is "long non-coding RNA (CANN_LNC012968)". The record is from RNAcentral. Lineage: Eukaryota; Viridiplantae; Streptophyta; Magnoliopsida; Solanales; Solanaceae.